Molecule: RNA transcript, 2540 nt
Organism: Clarias gariepinus (North African catfish)
Lineage: Eukaryota; Metazoa; Chordata; Actinopteri; Siluriformes; Clariidae
Gene name: glutamine-rich protein 2
Exons: 18
Source: RefSeq, a predicted model, not a curated record
UAUGUCUGCUUCGCCUUAAUUUCGGCCCGUUCGGAGUGAAAUUGAGCCGGACACAUGAACACUGCACUGCUGUGAGGAUUUCGCGCUGGGUGGGAAGGGCUUUAUUGAGGCAAGCGUUUGUGACGUCACGUGGCCGCUGCAUACUCUAUCACUUACUUGCUGUUUCUUUCAGGGAGACUUUGAUGAGACAACACUGAGCGAAAAAACAUGGAGGAAGAAGGUUUAUUUGACCUGUUGGACCGGUCCAUCGACCCUCCUGAUGCGGGAGUCAUCAAUUUUAAAGCCCUGCGCGGUCUCCUGCACAACAUGCUGCAGCGGCUGUACGACAUGGGAGCGACGCUGGACCAGCAGCUGCAGGAGGCCUCGGAAAGCAGCGGGCAAGAGGAGGAAGACGAGGACGAACUGUCCAAAUGUAUGAAUCUCAUAGAAGACUUGGUAAAAGAAAAUCAGGAGCUCAAGGAGAAGUCAUGCAUCAUGGAGAAAGAAGUGGAGACACUUCAAAAUCAGCUAAAUGGGUAUGUUGCUGUGGAAGACAUGCCAGGCAUUUUGGAUACCGAGAAACAAAAGAUAAUUGAGGAACUAAGAGACAGAAUGGGUACCCCUGGGCCACCUGAUACAAGUGGAGAGAUUAAAUACGACAGUCUGGAAGCCCGUGUGCAGAGCCUGGAAGGUGGCCAAGAAAACAUACUGGAUCAAGUAAAUCAACUAAAAACUCAGAGGAUGGAGCGUUCAGGAGAGGAGCCUGCCAAGCCUGAGGCAACAGUAAGCCAGAGAAGAGACAGUCGACCAGAGCCGCAGCCUUACUUGCAAGCAGAUGACCUCAGGGAUGCAGUGCAAAAGCUGGAUGAGGAGAUGCAAAAUGUGAAGCAAGACCUGCUGAGAAUAGAACAGCAGAAGAGCAGCCCAGAUAUGGAAAUCAAGGAUACGCGGGAGGAUCAGGAACCCCCAUGGCUACCAGGCAUGGUGGAUCUGAGCACAAAGAUAAACCUGGUCUUUCAGCGCUAUGAGAAUCUUCAGAGCAUUGUUUCUGAUUUUAUGACACAGAAGGCCAGUGACAAGCCAUUGCAAAUCGCUGAAACGCCCUCAGAGUUAAGUGAUGAGAAGCAUGAGAAGCUCGAGACUAGAGCCAGCCCACCGAUAAAGGAUCAUGAGGAGGAACAAAGGCACAUCGAGCACCUGUAUAAGACUGUAAAGGAGCUGGAUGAGAGGAAGGCAGAUAAGAUCGCAGUGGAAAUUGGAAAAGACAUUGAAUCGGACAUGCAGGCACUGGAGAACAGAAUCGUUGUGUGUGAUACAAAUACAGUAGAGCUGAAAAAGGGUCUGCAAGAUCUACACAACAACUUCACAGACCAUGAGGAGAAUUGUCAAAAGGUUACUGAGAAGGUCUUUAGGGAACUCGACUCUAAGGUGAAUCAUUAUGAGCUGGAUCCUCUGAAGAAGCAGCUAAAGUAUUGCCAGACAAGAAUUCGCAAGCAUAGCCAGUCUGACAGUGAUUCUGCUGCUGCUGUCAAGUUACCGCUUAAGACAAGAUUCAGCUGCCUCUCCUGUGAUCGCCCAGUCUACAUGGUUACUCCUGGACCAUGUUGGCCAUCAGUUCCUAAGCUUCCUAAUUUACCCUCUCAAAAGCACCACAACAGGCUGAGGCCAGUCACUAACUUGGGCCUGUGUGAGAGCUUACCUACCAAGAAAAGCAUGGAACAGAUCACGAUGUUUGGAAAAAAUGACCCCUGCAAUAUUGAGGGACAUAGCUGCAAAGGUUCCUGCGUGGAGAAUGAAAAUCUGUGGUUUCCCGAGGACUCAUUACCACUGAUUGUACAGUCCCAACCGCAAGUUUCUUCGGCGCUGGCAAACAAGAAACACCCAUCUAAUGAAGGAUGUGCACAAAGAAAGUCACACUGAAGUGGCCGAAAAAUCAAGGACAUGGUCAACCUCAGUCAAUUGCUGACAUCUAGUGGAGAAAUCUUACAAAGCUGUUUCCUUAGCAACAGGAGUGUCCUGACACAGCAAAAUUCUUCUGCUUUCUUAGGGAGACUCGCUGACGUGAAGUAAUGGAGGAGAGAAAGAUUGAUGGAGAGGAGGUUAGUGUUUGGAAGGAGAGUCGCCGUCCAUGACACCAUGGGAUCCCUGCUUGGAGAAUGAAAAGCUGUGGUAUCCUGAGGCUUAUUGCUGCUAGUUGUACAUUCCCAACAGCAGGUUUCUUCAUUGUCAUCAGGCAAGAAGAACUGAUCGACCUCGCUUCUUGACUAAAAAUACAUUGGAACACUUAAAGUUGGAAUAAUGAAACCUGAGUAAAUGUCAAUUAUGUACAAGCUAAAUAAUUUAAUAUAAUAAUGAGAGAAAUAAUUUAGAUAACAUGCAAAUAUACAGGCCCAGGUAACUAAGUAGUUACUAAUAUACACUGCCCGAACAUUGGAUCCAUUGUAGAAUUACUGCAGCUGGCAACAAGGGUCAAUAAUAUGACUUUUGUUUCAGAAAAGACAAAUUAUUGUCCUGCUUCAAGCAAAAAUAAAUAAAUAAAUAAAGCAAAAAAAAAAAAAAAA